RNAcentral lists this non-coding RNA (19 nucleotides) under Arabidopsis thaliana (thale cress). The record is from RNAcentral. Lineage: Eukaryota; Viridiplantae; Streptophyta; Magnoliopsida; Brassicales; Brassicaceae.
GCCUCUGUAGCAUAGUGGU